AUCAGCCUUUCGUGUGCGAUUCUGUGGAGUUUGAGGAGCUUAACACCUUCAUGCUUUGCAUAUUCGUGCUCUUGGGUGUACUUGCCCGUGUGGUUGGUUAACAUCAAUUUUGGUGGUCAUAAAAUGACUGGAGGAAUGUAGCUUCGAUCUUGUAUUGAAGUGUUAUAGCCUUCGGUAGAUGUGAUGAUCGAGAUUGAGGAUUGCAACGGAUACCCUUCGGGGCUACCUGUCUGAUCUCUGAUCGUUGCUCUGGUGCCGAAAGCUUGCUUACGGUUAUCAAAGUCGAUGGUCAAUAGGUUAGAACGGGUUAAAUUCGUUAAGGAUGUUGACGUAAUGGCUUU
RNAcentral lists this ribosomal RNA (341 nucleotides) under uncultured Glomeromycotina. Its description in RNAcentral is "eukaryotic LSU rRNA". Lineage: Eukaryota; Fungi; Glomeromycota. The record is from RNAcentral.